GCACAAGCGGUGGAGCAUGUGGUUUAAUUCGACGCAACGCGAAGAACCUUACCUGGGCUCGAAAUGUAGUGGAAUCCGGCAGAAACGUCGGCGUCUAGCAAUAGACCGCUAUAUAGGUGCUGCAUGGCUGUCGUCAGCUCGUGUCGUGAGAUGUUGGGUUAAGUCCCGCAACGAGCGCAACCCUUAUCUUCAGUUGCUACCAUUUAGUUGAGCACUCUGACGAAACCGCCUCGGAUAACGGGGAGGAAGGUGGGGAUGACGUCAAGUCAGCAUGGCCUUUAUGUCUGGGGCUACACACGUGCUACAAUGGCCGGUACAAACCGUCGCGAUACCGCAAGGUGGAGCUAAUCGGAGAAAGCCGGUCUCAGUUCGGAUUGCAGGCUGCAACUCGCCUGCAUGAAGUUGGAAUCGCUAGUAAUCGCGGAUCAGCACGCCGCGGUGAAUACGUUCCCGGGC
This 456-nucleotide ribosomal RNA is filed under the name uncultured bacterium. Its description in RNAcentral is "bacterial SSU rRNA". It matches the Rfam family "Bacterial small subunit ribosomal RNA", at positions 923 to 1379 of the family's 1533-position model. The record is from RNAcentral.